Molecule: non-coding RNA, 433 nt
Organism: Oncorhynchus mykiss (rainbow trout)
Lineage: Eukaryota; Metazoa; Chordata; Actinopteri; Salmoniformes; Salmonidae
Source: the annotation of a RefSeq genome assembly
CUCUGCGUGAAUCAUAUAUCUCUCUCUGAAUCCUGUAGAGUAACGAAGAUAAACUCCCAGCAGUUCAGCUUCAACACAAGCCAUGUUCCCUGCAUCUCUGCUGCUGCUGCUGGCAGCUGCCUCCUAUGGUCAGGGUCAGACAUUGACUGAGUCUGGACCAGUAAUUAAAACGCCUGGAGAAUCCCACACACUGAUCUGUACAGGUUCUGGGUUCACGUUCAAGAACUAUUGGAUGAGUUGGAUAAGACAGGCUCCUGGGAAAGAACUGGAAUGGAUUGGUUAUAUACAUGGUACUACUACUUACUACUCCCAGUCAAUGCAGGGUAGAUUCACCCUCUCCAGAGAUGACUCCAGCAGUAAGCUGUACCUACAGAUGAACAUUCUGAAGAGUGAGGACACAGCAGUGUAUUACUGUGCCCGGUACACACAGUGA